This 98-nucleotide ribosomal RNA is filed under the name Notechis scutatus (mainland tiger snake). Lineage: Eukaryota; Metazoa; Chordata; Lepidosauria; Squamata; Elapidae. The record is from RNAcentral.
AUGGACAGUAGACUCUGCUUGGACUUGGAAGCUAAGCAAGCCCAGAUCUGGUUAGGUUCUGUAUGGGAGACCAGCUGAGAAUCCCAGAGCAAUUAGUU